Molecule: ribosomal RNA, 492 nt
Filed under: uncultured bacterium
Lineage: Bacteria
Description: partial 16S ribosomal RNA
Rfam family: Bacterial small subunit ribosomal RNA
Source: RNAcentral
AGUGAACGCUGGCGGUAGGCCUAACACAUGCAAGUCGAACGGCAGCACAGUAAGAGCUUGCUCUUACGGGUGGCGAGUGGCGGACGGGUGAGGAAUACAUCGGAAUCUACUUUUUCGUGGGGGAUAACGUAGGGAAACUUACGCUAAUACCGCAUACGACCUACGGGUGAAAGCAGGGGAUCUUCGGACCUUGCGCGAUUGAAUGAGCCGAUGUCGGAUUAGCUAGUUGGCGGGGUAAAGGCCCACCAAGGCGAGGAUCCGUAGCUGGUCUGAGAGGAUGAUCGCCCACACUGGAACUGGGACACGGUCCAGACUCCUACGGGAGGCCGCAGUGUGGAAUAUUGGACAAUGGGCGCAAGCCUGAUCCAGCCAUACCGCGUGGGUGACGACGGCCUUCGGGUUGUAAAGCCGUUUUGUUGGGAAAGAAAAGCAGCAGGUUAAUACCCCGCUGUUCUGACGGUACCCAAAGAAUAAGCACCGGCUAACUUCGUG